GAUGAACGCUGGCGGCGUGCCUAAUACAUGCAAGUCGAGCGAGCAGACGAGGAGCUUGCUCCUCUGACGUUAGCGGCGGACGGGUGAGUAACACGUGGAUAACCUACCUAUAAGACUGGGAUAACUUCGGGAAACCGGAGCUAAUACCGGAUAAUAUAUUGAACCGCAUGGUUCAAUAGUGAAAGACGGUUUUGCUGUCACUUAUAGAUGGAUCCGCGCCGCAUUAGCUAGUUGGUAAGGUAACGGCUUACCAAGGCGACGAUGCGUAGCCGACCUGAGAGGGUGAUCGGCCACCCUGGAACUGAGACACGGUCCAGACUCCUACGGGAGGCAGCAGUAGGGAAUCUUCCGCAAUGGGCGAAAGCCUGACGGAGCAACGCCGCGUGAGUGAUGAAGGUCUUCGGAUCGUAAAACUCUGUUAUUAGGGAAGAACAAAUGUGUAAGUAACUAUGCACGUCUUGACGGUACCUAAUCAGAAAGCCACGGCUAACUACGUG
Molecule: ribosomal RNA, 497 nt
Filed under: uncultured bacterium
Lineage: Bacteria
Description: partial 16S ribosomal RNA
Rfam family: Bacterial small subunit ribosomal RNA
Source: RNAcentral